Molecule: transfer RNA, 73 nt
Filed under: Fibroporia radiculosa
Lineage: Eukaryota; Fungi; Basidiomycota; Agaricomycetes; Polyporales; Fibroporiaceae
Description: tRNA-Tyr (GTA) (tRNA-Tyr-GTA-3-1)
Rfam family: tRNA
About the family: Transfer RNA (tRNA) molecules are approximately 80 nucleotides in length.
Source: RNAcentral
CCCUCGAUAGCUCAGUUGGAAGAGCGCAAGACUGUAAAUCUUGAUGUCGCUGGUUCGAUCCCGGCUCGAGGGA